Molecule: non-coding RNA, 70 nt
Organism: Phthorimaea operculella (potato tuberworm)
Lineage: Eukaryota; Metazoa; Arthropoda; Insecta; Lepidoptera; Gelechiidae
Source: the annotation of a GenBank genome assembly
GUGGACGCGUAAUGGUAAUGCGACUGCCUGCGAAGCAGAUGGUUCCGGGUUCGAUUUUCGGUGGCCCACC